GGCUCAGAACGAACGCUGGCGGCGCGCCUAAUACAUGCAAGUCGAGCGAGAAGACGUAGCAAUACGUUUGUAAAGCGGCGAACGGGUGAGGAAUGCAUGGGUAACCUACCCUCGAGUGGGGAAUAACUAGCCGAAAGGUUAGCUAAUACCGCAUACGUUUCCGGAACUUCGGUUUCGGAAAGAAAGCAAUACCGUGGGUAUUGCGCUCAUGGAUGGGCUCAUGUCCUAUCAGCUUGUUGGUGAGGUAACGGCUCACCAAGGCUUCGACGGGUAGCUGGUCUGAGAGGACGAUCAGCCACACUGGCACUGCGACACGGGCCAGACUCCUACGGGAGGCAGCAGUAAGGAAUAUUGCGCAAUGGACGAAAGUCUGACGCAGCGACGCCGCGUGGGGGAUGAAGGCCUUCGGAUUGUAAACCCCUUUCGGGAGGGAAGAUGGAGUGGGUAACCACUUGGACGGUACCUCCAGAAGCAGCCACGGCUAACUUCGUGCCAGCAGCCGCGGUAAUACGAAGGUGGCAAGCGUUGUUCGGAUUCACUGGGCGUACAGGGAGCGUAGGCGGUUGGGUAAGCCCUCCGUGAAAUCUCCGGGCCUAACCCGGAAAGUGCAGAGGGGACUGCUCAGCUAGAGGAUGGGAGAGGAGCGCGGAAUUCCCGGUGUAGCGGUGAAAUGCGUAGAGA
This 681-nucleotide ribosomal RNA is filed under the name uncultured nitrite-oxidizing bacterium. RNAcentral describes it as "bacterial SSU rRNA". It matches the Rfam family "Bacterial small subunit ribosomal RNA", at positions 21 to 696 of the family's 1533-position model. The record is from RNAcentral.